RNAcentral lists this long non-coding RNA (1143 nucleotides) under Homo sapiens (human). RNAcentral's name for it is "non-protein coding LINC01539:2". Lineage: Eukaryota; Metazoa; Chordata; Mammalia; Primates; Hominidae. The record is from RNAcentral.
GGAAAACACACUGAGUCGUAACAGUGACAUCAAAAUACUUUUGAAGUUGACUGAAAAUGUGGUUGCUUUUGUUUGAGAAUGGCAAAUUAAAGAAUUGGAUAUUGGGUUCUUAUCUCAGAAGAAACAAAGGAGGAGACCCUGAAAAACUGAACAUGAAGAGGAAGAAGUGGAGUUAUGCAACUCUUCAUAAGAAAAUCUCCAUCUGUUUGGAGAAGUACUGCGUCCUUCCGGAUUAUCUUCUACACUAUGCCUUAUUGUUAUCUGGCUGGUUCCACCACCGGUCAGAAGAAUGAAAAUUGCAGAUACCUAUUCUGUGUGUUUCUCUCCAGAAUGGUGGAUGUUAGAGACCCUACUAAGGAUUUGUGGACUCACUAACGUAGUCUCUAAAAGUGUCUUCCAGAGUCCUCACGAGUAUCAGAGAAGGCAUAAUCUGUACACGUGGCUUCAUUUAAAAUGAAAAUAUCAAGCAGUGUCAUUUUCACAAGUAUCCCCACACUGUCUGAGGCUGAAAAGAAGAGUGUAGCUAUGCACACUGCAGUGAGAAGAAAAUUUCAGCUCAAUUGGAGGAUGUAAAGAUUGAAAUACCACUGCUCCUAGUUCUGAUGCAAAAUUGAAAAGAGUGCACUGGGUCUUCAAAUGGCAUAUUGACAAGGAGAAAGAGGAAAGGAUGCCCCAGGACAGCCUGGGGGUCAAGGCUGGGCUCAGGCAUGCCUGGACAAGCCAUGCAAGUUGUCUCCGGACUUGAACCACGUAUCAGAGGAGCUAUUUGAGGAGCCACAUCAGCAUACCUGCUUCUGUGGGCCCCCAGGCUGUGGUGCUCAGCCCUUGCACUAUGAAACAUUUUUUUUUUCCAGAAGCCAAAGCUUUGAGCAUCUCCUCCCAUGUAGAGAGUGUAUAUGUUUACGUCCAUGUCUUUCGCCAUGUGAACGCAUGCAACCACCACCUCAAAUAUCAUAAAUCCUCUCUCUCCCCCUUUCUGUCUGCCUGUUUAUCUACAAUCUGUCUAUUUAAAUUCUUUUUAAACAAGAAGGGAAUAUCUUUAUGCCUGUUUGUAGGGAUAUUCUACAUCCAUCUGUUAUUUACAUCAUUCGUUUUCCUGAGGUGUCUCCAACAAAUCCUGGCUGGAUGCACUGUAUGUGUUAU